UGCGUAUAUGGUUUAGGGUUUAGGGUUUUAGGGGUUUAGUUAUCCUGGCUAGUUUUGUUAUUCUAUUUUUAACGAUUUUGAAUUUAUUUUCUUUAUUUUUUGUUUCAAUUUAAUCGUCAUGAUUUAAGGUCGCUGUUGUUCAUAUUUUGUUAUCCACAAUUACUGCUUCCUUUUAAUUCACAUGUGUGCAGAGAUCAUCAUGUUUGAAAAAAUUUUAUUCUUUUGAUUAAACUUUCCAUUCUUGCAAUUUUUUUUUGGGUAACAUUUUGUAGAACAAAACUAAAUAUUCGAGGUAUUUUCCUUUAUAAUUUUCUUUGUGUUUUUAAUUCAAU
This 332-nucleotide long non-coding RNA is filed under the name Ananas comosus (pineapple). Its description in RNAcentral is "long non-coding RNA (ACOM_LNC002741)". Lineage: Eukaryota; Viridiplantae; Streptophyta; Magnoliopsida; Poales; Bromeliaceae. The record is from RNAcentral.